This 98-nucleotide microRNA precursor is filed under the name Equus asinus (donkey). RNAcentral's name for it is "mir-544 microRNA precursor family". It matches the Rfam family "mir-544 microRNA precursor family". Lineage: Eukaryota; Metazoa; Chordata; Mammalia; Perissodactyla; Equidae. RNAcentral also lists the same sequence under 1 other name. The record is from Rfam by way of RNAcentral.
AUCACCUGGGGGUCUUGUUAAAAUGCAGAUUCUGGUUCAGUAGGUUUCAGGUAGGGAAUGAGAUUCUGUAUUUCUAACAAACUCCCAGGUAAUGUUGA